GGAUUAGAUACCCUAUUAUUUUUAUUGUAAAGUGAAUUAAGCUGGAGUAGUAAUAGUUAUGAUCUUUAAACUUAAAGAAUUUGGCGGUAUUAUAAUCUAUUUAGAGGAAUCUGUUAUGUAAUCGAUAAUCCACGUUGAACCUUACUUAUGUUAUAUUCUUGUAUACCGCUGUUUAGAAUAUAUUUUUAGAUUAUUUUCUGGAUAAUAGAAUUUAUUAAAAUUUCAAGUCAAGGUGCAGUAAUACGUAAGUUGAAUAAUGGAUUACAAUAAAUUUUAUUUAUCAUGAAUUGUUAUUGAAAUAUAAUAUUGAAGGUGGAUUUAAUUGUAAUUUUUUAAAUAUUGUAAAAAUGAUUUUAGCUCUAUAAUGUGUACACAUCGCCCGUCACUCUCGUUAUAAGACGAGAUAAGUC
This 410-nucleotide ribosomal RNA is filed under the name Pseudocreobotra wahlbergii (spiny flower mantis). RNAcentral describes it as "partial 12S ribosomal RNA". Lineage: Eukaryota; Metazoa; Arthropoda; Insecta; Mantodea; Hymenopodidae. The record is from RNAcentral.